RNAcentral lists this long non-coding RNA (2149 nucleotides) under Mus musculus (house mouse). Its description in RNAcentral is "predicted gene, 56974". Lineage: Eukaryota; Metazoa; Chordata; Mammalia; Rodentia; Muridae. The record is from RNAcentral.
AGGACAGAGUAGAAGGCCUCAGAGCACAGCGGUGGUAUGAUGACAGGCGUGCAUAAACUGGUACUGAGCUGGACUGCUCUCGGUGUAGGGCAUGCUGCUCUAUUAUGCUUUUUUUUUUUUAAGCUUUAAUUUUUUGACAGGAUUUCUUGCAGCCCAGAUUGACCUUUGACUUGCUAUGUAGCUGGAGAUGACCUUGAACUCCUGCUUCUCCUGCCUUUACCUCCUGAGUGCUAUGGUUUGAGGUGUGUAUCAGGGUUUUGUAUUUCUACCCCAGCAGUUACCUUUAGGUGCCAAAGGCCCAGGGUUCUGCUGCUCUGAGCCUGACCCCUUGAUGCUACAAUAGGAUAAAACAUAUCUCUCUGGUUUGAAUAUUGAUGGCAGAUGUGUGAGUCUGUGGACACUGGGCUCUUGUGAGAAGGGGACAGGGCUGCCACGUGGAGCUUGCUUCUGAGUUGAUACAGUUUUCCUCAAUGUGAUGCCUAGCUAAGUGAGAUUGUUAGGAAUUUUAUUUUUAUUUUAUGCGUGUUUUUUUCUGUCUGUCUGCCUUCAUGUAUGUGUCUUACAUGGGUGCAGUGCCUGAAGAAGGUGUCAGAUCCCUUGGAUCUGGAGUGACAGGAGAUUGUGAGCUCCAUGUGUGUGCUGAAACCUGAUUCUAGAUCUUUCAUAAGAACAACAAAUACUCUUAGCCACUGAGCCGUCUCUCGAGCCCCAGUGAGAAGACUUCUAUUUGUUCUUCUCACCGCAGGCAGUGUUGGCAUUAUCAUGCCCACCAUUGAGUGAGACUAUUGAGAAAAAUGCUUGAUCAUUUGUAUCCUUAUACGGCGUAGCCGUUGUCUUAUCAUUGAGGUACCAAGGACUCUGCUCCUGCCACUACUUGGCCCUUGCAGGCUGGGAUGGUCACUCUUGAGAACACCAUCACCAGACAGCUUCACCCAAGUCUCACCCAAUCCCUGGGCCUCAGCUUAUCUGUAUUUUGCUGCCUCUCUAGAGUCAUCCAGAGUUCUAACCCUAGACAAGGAUAUCCUGAGCCUACAGAAUCUAUCUUUUUCAGGGCCGUGUACUUGGAUGAUCCUUGGCUCUGGAAGGAGGAGGAAGACUCUGUGGAGUAAGAAGAAGGUGGAUGUUUUCUUGGUCAGUUUCACUGUUAUGCAGCCAGGCUUUGAAGAAGACCUCCAUGCUGACAACAUCGUUGUCUAGCGUCUCAAGGACAAUGUCAGCUUCCAGGAUAGAACUCUCUGCAGAAGAAAGGGAGGUUGUGGUUAAAGUGGGUUUUUUUUUCAAUCUUAAUAUUUAUUUAUUUAAAGGUUUUCUCCCCAGGGGGAGGCUGGGACGGUGACUGAACUGUUAUGAGUCUGUACUGCUCUUGCAGAGGACCUGAGUUCAAUUCCUAGCAUCUAUAUCAUUUGGCACACAACUACCUGUAACUCCCGUCCCUGGGAUCUGAUGUUCUCUCGUCUAAACUCUAAGGGUACCUGAACUCACACAUGCAAACAGGUGUAAUUAAAAAUUAAAAAAAAUAAGUCUUCACAAUUAUUUAAAAAUAGAUUUGUUUUAGUUGAAAAUUGUUUUUGUGUUGGGGUUGGAGAGAUGACUCAGCUGUUGAGAACACUUGGUCUUGCAGAGAAUCUGGGUUUGAGAGGUGCACCCACAUGGUGUCGCACAACCACCUGUCACUCACAUCCCAAGUGACCCAACACUUCUUUGGACCUCAAUAGGCACCAGGCAUGCCUGUGUUGCAAAUAUAUACAUGCAGGCAAGAGACUCACACACAUGAAAUAAUAAAUCAAACCUAAACAUGUUAAGACACUGUACUGGCUAGUUUUGUGUCAACUUGACACAGCUGGGGUUAUCACAGAGAAAGGAGCUUCAGUUGAGGAAAUGCCUCCAUGAGAUCCAACUCUAAGGCAUUUUCUCAAUUAGUGAUCAAGGGGGAAAGGCCCCUUGUGGGUGGGACCAUCUCUGGGCUGUUAGUCUUGGUUCUAUAAGAGAGCAGGCUGAGCAAGCCAGGGGAGGCAAGCCAGUAAAGAACAUCUCUCCAUGGCCUCUGCAUCGGCUCCUGCUUUCUGACCUGCUUGAGUUCCAGUCCUGACUUCCUUGGUGAUGAACAGCAGUAUGGAAGUGUAAGCCGAAUAAACCCUUUCCUCCCCAA